RNAcentral lists this long non-coding RNA (427 nucleotides) under Gossypium barbadense (sea-island cotton). Its description in RNAcentral is "long non-coding RNA (GBAR_LNC021914)". Lineage: Eukaryota; Viridiplantae; Streptophyta; Magnoliopsida; Malvales; Malvaceae. The record is from RNAcentral.
GCUUGAAGUAGAGCCCAUUUGAGCAGCCUUUUGAAGCAAUGCGGUGGCUGACAUUUGGGGCACCAUGUUAUUGUUUUGAACCGAUGAGCUGAAGAGAGAAGGGAUGUUGGAAGUCAUUUGAUCACUCAUUAAGUUGUUGGAGAAGAGGUUGGAGGCGUUGUUGGUCCCACCAUUGCCGCCGUUUUCAUUGUUGAAAUUAUCAGACAUGAGCAAACCCGAAGAUGUUAAAUUAUAAUCGCCAGCACAACCAUUGUUGCCACUGUUGGAAAGGAAGCUAAGGUUGAAGAGAUUGGCAGCCGAAGAAGCGUUGCUUGCGUUGUUGUUGUUGUUGUUGUUGUCGUCGUCGGGAGGAAACUGCAUUAAUCCUUGGAAUGGUUUGCUGUUUCCCAACAACCCAUGCUGGGAUUGAUGUUCUUGGUUGAAAAUC